Molecule: ribosomal RNA, 300 nt
Filed under: uncultured Bacteriovorax sp.
Lineage: Bacteria; Pseudomonadati; Bdellovibrionota; Bacteriovoracia; Bacteriovoracales; Bacteriovoracaceae
Description: bacterial SSU rRNA
Rfam family: Bacterial small subunit ribosomal RNA
Source: RNAcentral
CACGUAGGUAAUCUACCUUUUGGUGGGGGAUAACCAGGAGAAAUUCUGGCUAAUACCGCAUAAGAUGGCAACAUGAAAGGAUGCUUCGGCAUUCGCCGAUAGAUGAGCCUGCGCGACAUUAGCUUGAUGGUGGGGUAAUGGCCUACCAUGGCUACGAUGUCUAGCUGGUCUGAGAGGAUGAUCAGCCACACUGGAACUGAGACACGGUCCAGACUCCUACGGGAGGCAGCAGUGGGGAAUAUUGCGCAAUGGGGGAAACCCUGACGCAGCAAUGCCGCGUGAGUGAGGAAGGCCUUCGGU